Long non-coding RNA from Neopelma chrysocephalum (saffron-crested tyrant-manakin), 2085 nucleotides. RefSeq lists it as uncharacterized. The record is from RefSeq and is a predicted model, not a curated record. NCBI's taxonomy places the organism in Eukaryota, Metazoa, Chordata, Aves, Passeriformes, Pipridae. The transcript has 2 exons.
UAUUCCACCAGAUCCCCUGUCCCUGCUUCCACCUGUGGUACACUUCAUUUUUAUGUUUGGGUUUUGUCAGGAGCUCCUUGCUUGUGUUCAUCCAUGUAGGCCUCCUUGCAUCUAUGCACGGGUGUUUCUUUUCAAGUAGGAGCAAAAUGGAGGAGAAGGAAAUGCUUUGUGUGAGUGCAGUCUGUAAGAAGAGGGUCCCCAAAGCAGAAGAGGUCUGCUGUGAAAAAAAGGAGACUGCAUCCACGGGGAGAAAUCUGGUCUGUAGGGAUGAUGGCUGCUGGAGCAUCUCUCUUUCCCUGCUGUGCCACUGAGGAAAGCAACAUCUUGUCAUCAGCCUCUUGGAUAGCAGAAAUUGCUCUGUACUAGUUGCAAUGGCAAUAGGCAGACUGCAAGGGACAAGAAAGGCAAACCUAGAGAUCGAAUUCAUCAAAACAAGACAGGAUGAUAUUGGAAAUAUUCCUGGACACCUGGAAGACAACUUUGGGCUUAGAUCUGCACUGCCUUCCUCCUCCUCUGCCCUAGAUGCUACCUUUUGACAUGUCUGUUUCAUAAAUGAAACUCCUGUUCCAUACAUGUGUAAGCCAACACUUUCAAACACUUCCCCCCACAAAGAAUAUUUUCCUUCAGAUGGGGACUGAAUGAAGGCAGAACUGCAUAGAAACUCAGCAUAUUGUAAGCAAAACAGCCUAGAGCAUUCAUCUCAUAUCUCAUCUCAUCAUAUAGUUCCAUGUGACCACUAAACUGGCUGGUCAUGGCUAGUUGCCACUGCAAGGCAAAGGUCUUACCCUAGGCUGUGCUCUUCCAUUGUCACUUUUGUGCUGGCAUUGCUGCCUGGCUGGGCUGGGGUAAACCAGGAUGGAAGCUCUGCAGGACAGAGAGAUAAGCCAAGAAGAGAAGAUUUCCUGCAGUGUCUCACCCAGGCCAGGUGAGAGCCAGCAGAGCCUCAGAAGAAGCAAUUCAAAGAGGAAAGCCACAGUAGCACUGACUUAGAUCAGUCUAAAUUCCCAUACUAGUGUGUGCUUUCUGAGUGUGGCACUUCCUUCUCCUGCCUCUGCUCUGUCCUAGGCACUGCUAUCUCCCCCCCAGUGCUCCUUCUGAGGCUGCUUUGGAGCCCUUGUGAGUUGACUCAGCUCACCAACCUCACAGAAAAAAAAAACCCUCUUCAUUUGCUUGUUGGAUUGAUUCAAUGCGUAAUUAUAUGAAUCCCAUAACUCUGUGAGGGAAAGGGGGAGUGAAGGAAGAAGCUGGAGGAGGAGAUGGAACUGUCCUUUUCUGAUGGUCAAACCAUUAUUGCCACCCACUGAGGGUGCAAUUUGAUGUUACACCUAAGGAAUCCAACCAUGCAAGGUGCAAGUGAAGAUAACAGUGCUAAACUCACUGAUCUGAUGUAAAGUGAACUCUUUUCUUUGGUGAGUUGCCACAAAGCUGUGUGAUUGUUAAAUCCAGUUCAAGGGAAGCUGCAGGAAUGUCUCUGUGGAACUUUUUGGGAAGAACAGAACUGUUGUAUUUUAUGGCACUCUCCACUUAGAUUGUGCUAUCAGGAUGUUAAAUUGUCCUCUUUGCAUGCUUUCAGAAGGGAUAAAAACAAAACUCAGCUUGUCAAAGAAAAUUUAGUUUUGAGUUGGGUCAACACAGUGAUCUGACUUAAAAACUGCAAAACAGUUCGUCCUAAACCAGAGAGAGAAUGAAAAGAUAAAGUGAGGGGCAGGAGAUAGGAGAAUCUCUUUUUUGAUUGCAGUGUGCUCUUACAUUGGCUGACGCUGAACAUGGAGCUGCUCCCCAAGAAAGGGAGUCCAAGUGACUGAAGAAAUUUUCAGCUUUUUGUAGUAAACAGCUCAUCAAAAUGAUCUAACUUCAAAAAAUUCAUUAUCUUUUACUUUUGCAAACUGUGUUUUCCCUGGCCUCACAAGCAGAUGACUUUGUGGGAGAAUGGAAGAAUUAAGAACUGCACCAGAGAGUGAUUGACUAUGAAAUUGAGAAGUACGGAACUUAGCUGGCUUGACCAUCAGGAAAGUUGUAAUGUGGUAUUAUGCUUUGGAUUUUCUACAGUAGCUUGUAAUGAAGAAGAAUAAAGACAUACCUCAG